Molecule: ribosomal RNA, 497 nt
Filed under: uncultured bacterium
Lineage: Bacteria
Description: partial 16S ribosomal RNA
Rfam family: Bacterial small subunit ribosomal RNA
Source: RNAcentral
GAUGAACGCUGGCGGCGUGCCUAAUACAUGCAAGUCGAGCGAACGGACGCGAAGCUUGCUUCUCUGAUGUUAGCGGCGGACGGGUGAGUAACAUGUGGAUAACCUACCUAUAAGACUGGGAUAACUUCGGGAAACCGGAGCUAAUACCGUAUGAUAUUUUGAACCGCAUGGUUGAAAAGUGAAAGACGGUCUUGCUGUCACUUCUAGAUGGAUCCGCGCUGCUUUAGCUAGUUGGUACGGUAACGGCUUACGAAGGCAACGAUGCCUAGCCGACCUGAGAGCGUGAUCGGCGACACUGGAAGUGAGACACGGUCCAGGGUCCUACGGGAGGCAGCAGUAGCGAAUCUUCCGCAAUGGGCGAAAGCCUGACGGAGCAACGCCACGUGAGUGAUGAAGGUCUUCGGAUCGUAAAACUCUGUUAUUGGGGAAGAACAUAUGUGUAAGUGACUGUGCACAUCUUGACGGUACCUAAUCAAGAAGCAACGGCUAACUACGUG